UGCAGUCGAACGAUGAAGCCGAGCUUGCUUGGUGGAUUAGUGGCGAACGGGUGAGUAACACGUGAGCAACCUGCCCUGGACUCUGGGAUAAGCGCUGGAAACGGUGUCUAAUACUGGAUAUGAGCUCUCAUCGCAUGGUGGGGGUUGGAAAGAUUUUUCGGUCUGGGAUGGGCUCGCGGCCUAUCAGCUUGUUGGUGAGGUAAUGGCUUACCAAGGCGUCGACGGGUAGCCGGCCUGAGAGGGUGACCGGCCACACUGGGACUGAGACACGGCCCAGACUCCUACGGGAGGCAGCAGUGGGGAAUAUUGCACAAUGGGCGGAAGCCUGAUGCAGCAACGCCGCGUGAGGGAUGACGGCCUUCGGGUUGUAAACCUCUUUUAGCAAGGAAGAAGCGAAAGUGACGGUACUUGCAGAAAAAGCGCCGGCUAACUACGUGCCAGCAGCCGCGGUAAUACGUAGGGCGCAAGCGUUAUCCGGAAUUAUUGGGCGUAAAGAGCUCGUAGGCGGUUUGUCGCGUCUGCUGUGAAAACCCGAGGCUCAACCUCGGGCCUGCAGUGGGUACGGGCAGACUAGAGUGCGGUAGGGGAGAUUGGAAUUCCUGGUGUAGCGGUGGAAUGCGCAGAUAUCAGGAGGAACACCGAUGGCGAAGGCAGAUCUCUGGGCCGUAACUGACGCUGAGGAGCGAAAGGGUGGGGAGCAAACAGGCUUAGAUACCCUGGUAGUCCACCCCGUAAACGUUGGGAACUAGUUGUGGGGUCCUUUCCACGGAUUCCGUGACGCAGCUAACGCAUUAAGUUCCCCGCCUGGGGAGUACGGCCGCAAGGCUAAAACUCAAAGGAAUUGACGGGGACCCGCACAAGCGGCGGAGCAUGCGGAUUAAUUCGAUGCAACGCGAAGAACCUUACCAAGGCUUGACAUACACGAGAACAUCCCAAAAAUGGGGGACUCUUUGGACACUCGUGAACA
This 967-nucleotide ribosomal RNA is filed under the name Microbacterium sp. RNAcentral describes it as "bacterial SSU rRNA". It matches the Rfam family "Bacterial small subunit ribosomal RNA", at positions 56 to 1036 of the family's 1533-position model. Lineage: Bacteria; Bacillati; Actinomycetota; Actinomycetes; Micrococcales; Microbacteriaceae. The record is from RNAcentral.